UGUUGCACCCCGAUUUCAGCGGCGGACGGGUGAGUAAUGCCUAGGAAUCUGCCUGGUAGUGGGGGAUAACGUUCGGAAACGGACGCUAAUACCGCAUACGUCCUACGGGAGAAAGCAGGGGACCUUCGGGCCUUGCGCUAUCAGAUGAGCCUAGGUCGGAUUAGCUAGUUGGCGGGGUAAAGGCCCACCAAGGCGACGAUCCGUAACUGGUCUGAGAGGAUGAUCAGUCACACUGGAACUGAGACACGGUCCAGACUCCUACGGGAGGCAGCAGUGGGGAAUAUUGGACAAUGGGCGAAAGCCUGAUCCAGCCAUGCCGCGUGUGUGAAGAAGGUCUUCGGAUUGUAAAGCACUUUAAGUUGGGAGGAAGGGCAGUAAGUU
Molecule: ribosomal RNA, 381 nt
Filed under: uncultured bacterium
Lineage: Bacteria
Description: bacterial SSU rRNA
Rfam family: Bacterial small subunit ribosomal RNA
Source: RNAcentral